Molecule: ribosomal RNA, 406 nt
Filed under: uncultured bacterium
Lineage: Bacteria
Description: partial 16S ribosomal RNA
Rfam family: Bacterial small subunit ribosomal RNA
Source: RNAcentral
AUUGAACGCUGGCGGCAGGCCUAACACAUGCAAGUCGAACGAGUGGCGGACGGGUGAGCAAUGUCUGGGAAACUGCCUGAUGGAGGGGGAUAACUACUGGAAACGGUAGCUAAUACCGCAUACAAUCAGAUGUGCCCAGAUGGGAUUAGCUAGUUGGUGGGGUAACGGCUCACCAAGGCGACGAUCCCUAGCUGGUCUGAGGGGAUGACCAGCCACACUGGGACUGAGACACGGUCCAGACGCCUACGGGAGGCAGCAGUAGGGAAUAUUGCACAAUGGGCGCAAGCCUGAUGGAGCCAUGCCGCGUGUGUGAAGAAGGCUUUCGGGUUGUAAAGUGCUUUCGGCGGGGAGGCGUUACCCGCAGAGGAAGCACCGGCUAACUCCGUGCCAGCAGCCGCGGUAAUAC